Molecule: ribosomal RNA, 465 nt
Filed under: uncultured bacterium
Lineage: Bacteria
Description: partial 16S ribosomal RNA
Rfam family: Bacterial small subunit ribosomal RNA
Source: RNAcentral
AAUCAACGCUGGCGGCGUGCCUCAGACAUGCCAGUCGAACGAUUAAACUUCCCUUCGGGGAAGAUAUAAAGUGGCGCACGGGUGAGUAACACGUAGGUAAUGUACCUUUGGGUGGGGAAUAACUUAGGGAAACUUAAGCUAAUACCGCAUAAUGCAGCGGCUCCUUCGGGAGACAGUUGUUAAAGAUUUAUCGCCUAAAGAGCAGCCUGCGGCAGAUUAGCUAGUUGGUAAGGUAACGGCUUACCAAGGCUACGAUCUGUAUCCGACCUGAGAGGGUGGUCGGACACACUGACACUGAAUAACGGGUCAGACUCCUACGGGAGGCAGCAGUCGGGAAUUUUGGGCAAUGGGCGAAAGCCUGACCCAGCAACGCCGCGUGAAGGAUGAAGUCUUUCGGGAUGUAAACUUCGUAAGAAUAGGAAGAAUAAAUGACGGUACUAUUUGUAAGGUCCGGCUAACUACGUG